This 103-nucleotide ribosomal RNA is filed under the name Salmonella enterica subsp. enterica serovar Kentucky. RNAcentral describes it as "partial 23S ribosomal RNA". The record is from RNAcentral. Lineage: Bacteria; Pseudomonadati; Pseudomonadota; Gammaproteobacteria; Enterobacterales; Enterobacteriaceae.
CGGGUGUGUAAGCGCAGCGAUGCGUUGAGCUAACCGGUACUAAUGAACCGUGAGGCUUAACCUUACAGUACUAAUGAACCGUGAGGCUUAACCUUACAACGCC